CCUACGGGUGGCAGCAGUGAGGAAUAUUGGUCAAUGGGCGAGAGCCUGAACCAGCCAAGUCGCGUGAGGGAGUACUGCCCUAUGGGUUGUAAACCUCUUUUGUCGGGGAGCAAAAGCCGGACGUGUCCGGCUGUGAGAGUACCCGAAGAAAAAGCAUCGGCUAACUCCGUGCCAGCAGCCGCGGUAAUACGGAGGAUGCGAGCGUUAUCCGGAUUUAUUGGGUUUAAAGGGUGCGCAGGCGGAUUUUUAAGUCAGUGGUAAAAUCGUGGGGCUCAACCCCAUCCAGCCGUUGAAACUGGGGAUCUAGAGUGUGCGAGAGGUAUGCGGAAUGCGUGGUGUAGCGGUGAAAUGCAUAGAUAUCACGCAGAACCCCGAUUGCGAAGGCAGCAUACCGGUGCACAACUGACGCUCAGGCACGAAAGCGUGGGUAUCGAACAGGAUUAGAUACCCUAGUAGUC
RNAcentral lists this ribosomal RNA (458 nucleotides) under uncultured bacterium. Its description in RNAcentral is "partial 16S ribosomal RNA". It matches the Rfam family "Bacterial small subunit ribosomal RNA", at positions 338 to 795 of the family's 1533-position model. The record is from RNAcentral.